AGAGUUUGAUCCUGGCUCAGGACGAACGCUGGCGGCGUGCUUAACACAUGCAAGUCGAGCGAUGAAGUUUCUUCGGAAAUGGAUUAGCGGCGAACGGGUGAGGAACACGUGAAGAAUCUGCCCUCCACUUUGGGAUAACACCGGGAAACCGGUGCUAAUACCGAAUAUUGAAACAUAAGUGGCAUCACUGAGUUUUGAAAGAAUUUCGGUGGAGGAUGACUUCGCGGCCUAUCAGCUAGUUGGUGAGGUAAUGGCUCACCAAGGCAACGACGGGUAGCCGGCCUGAGAGGGCGACCGGCCACACUGGGACUGAGACACGGCCCAGACUCCUACGGGAGGCAGCAGUGGGGAAUAUUGGGCAAUGGAGGAAACUCUGACCCAGCGACGCCGCGUGCGGGAUGAAGGCCUUCGGGUUGUAAACCGCUUUCAGUAGGGAAGAAGCGAAAGUGACGGUACCUACAAAAGAAGCACCGGCUAACUAUGUGCCAGCAGCCGCGGUAAUACAUAGGGUGCAAGCGUUGUCCGGAAUUAUUGGGCGUAAAGAGCUCGUAGGUCGUUUGUUACGUCGGAUGUGAAAACCUGAGGCUCAACCUCAGGCCUGCAUUCGAUACGGGCAAACUAGAGUUUGGUAGGGGAGACUGGAAUUCCUGGUGUAGCGGUGGAAUGCGCAGAUAUCAGGANGAACACCAAUGGCGANNNCAGGUCUCUGGGCCAAUACUGACACUGNNNAGCGAAAGUCUGGGGAGCGAACAG
Molecule: ribosomal RNA, 753 nt
Filed under: uncultured bacterium
Lineage: Bacteria
Description: bacterial SSU rRNA
Rfam family: Bacterial small subunit ribosomal RNA
Source: RNAcentral